Molecule: ribosomal RNA, 325 nt
Filed under: uncultured eukaryote
Lineage: Eukaryota
Description: partial 18S ribosomal RNA
Rfam family: Eukaryotic small subunit ribosomal RNA
Source: RNAcentral
CCCUUAGACGUUCUGGGCCGCACGCGCGCUACACUGACCAGUGCAACAAGCAUCCGUCCUUGGCCGACAGGCUCGGGCAAUCUUUGAACGCUGGUCGUGAUGGGGAUAGACUUUUGCAAUUUUUGGUCUUCAACGAGGAAUUCCUAGUAAACGCAAGUCAUCAACUUGCAUUGAUUACGUCCCUGCCCUUUGUACACACCGCCCGUCGCACCUACCGAUUGAGUGAUCCGGUGAAUAAUUCGGACUGCAGCACUGCUUGGUCUCCAGGCUUUGCAGCGGAAAGUUUAGUGAACCUUAUCACUUAGAGGAAGGAGAAGUCGUANCA